Molecule: microRNA, 24 nt
Filed under: Haemonchus contortus (barber pole worm)
Lineage: Eukaryota; Metazoa; Nematoda; Chromadorea; Rhabditida; Trichostrongylidae
Description: hco-miR-5951
Source: miRBase by way of RNAcentral
GGUUCCGUCAGGACGACGAAGGAA